Molecule: long non-coding RNA, 2726 nt
Filed under: Homo sapiens (human)
Lineage: Eukaryota; Metazoa; Chordata; Mammalia; Primates; Hominidae
Description: non-protein coding lnc-MSH6-2:12
Source: RNAcentral
GCCAGUGCGUAGCGACGAUUCUGGGAGAGGAGGUGCUCGGAGGAAAGGGCGGGGGUUGCUGAUGUAAUGGGGAGAAGUGAUUAAUCCUUCGGUUCGCCGUUUCAGCUUCCCCCCUACCCCAACCUUCACCCGAUUUUUUUGAGCUGAAAAAAAAGUGGAACGAGGGAGCCAAUCUUUGGUAACUCGGGUUUUCUGUGGUAGGUGGGUUCAAAAUCUGAGCUGUAGGGAGCGCUAGAGAUUUCGUGCCCUUUAGCCAAGCUGAGGGUAUUUGCAAACCCUGAAGAUUUCCGUCUCCGAGCUUUGGGCUUGGUCCCACAAACUGCAAGGAAAAGAAAAACCCUCAACAGGAAUUACCUUUAUACCUGAUGCCCCCAACAUAAUCUCUCUCCAAGGGAAACGUGUUUUUAUUGCCUUGCGGCUGAAAAUGUAUUCUCGAUUCUCCCCCUUCUCUCUUUUGUUGUGCAUUUUUUGGAUGUGGUAAAACUGGCAGUUUAUCUGAUUAUCUGGUUUUCAGAACUUUGGGCGAUGUCUCUGAGUGUCAUCAGUUGCUCUCUAGGUUUGACAUAGAUAAUUAAGCAACUACAAAGCGUGAUAAAGCUUUUGAGAGGGAGGAAAAUGUAUUUUGGAAGGAGGGAGAGACGCAAAGAGGCGAGCCUGUGUGUUGAGUCCCAGACUUGGUGUGUGACUACAGGCAAAGUACUUCACCUUUCUAGAUGUCAGCCCCGCCCCCCUCACCUCCCAAGUUUAAAUAAGAACUUAUUUUAGACUACAUGAUCCUGUUUUCAAUUUUUAAGAGUUCUGUGAUUUUGAGAUGAUCUCUCUUUAGUCCAGAAAAAUAGAGAAACGUAGGUCUAUGUUUGUUUCUCAAAAAAAUAUUUGAGGAGGACAGCUGUUACAAAACAGCUGGAGAACUCCAAAUUUUUAUGGUGGUUAGCUAGGUGCAAAUGGGUACAAUUUUAGGUUUGUUCAAAUAAACAUAGGGGAAAAGUAAAAGUACAGGAAAAUUACGUUAUACAUAUAAGUGUGUCCAUCAUUUCUGAUUUUUCUAAAAAUUUACUUUUUUAUUUGACAAGUACUUUUUGGCUCCUUCCGUGUAUGCAUUAAUAUGUAUAUAAGGUGUUAUGGGAAAUACUAAUAAAAGGAAAAUAUUGGGCAUAAAGAGUUUGUAUUUUGGUGUGGCAGAGUGGAAGUUUUACUUACAUUAAUUCAGAUGUAAAGAAAAUGUAGCUUGUUUAUUUUCUGUAAUUUUAACUUCAAGUCCCCACAUCAUCUCAAUUUUUUAAAAAACAUAACUGCUUUCACCUUUUAUUUCCCCAACUCUCCUUCUAAUAUAUUAAUGGGAGGGGCGGGGUUUAGGGUUGUUAUAUGUGGUAUAAGGGGUAUCUUUUACAUACCCUAGAUUUCUAAGUUUAUUGCAACAAUUCUCUGACAUAUGGCAGUAAAAUGCCUUGUUUUAGCAAAAUUAGUAUAUUAUGACAAUUUCCUGAUAGAUGGUAGUAAAGUGUCUUGAGAAAGGAAGCACCUUUUUCAAAUUCACAGAGUAACUGGUAGGGUGGUAGCAUCCCUGAGGAAUAGGGAGGUUUACAAGGGCAUCUAAGCCACUAAUGCCAGUCCUUAUGUUGUCUUCUGGCGUGGAGUGGCUAGUAUUGUCUGAUGGCAGCCACUGUCGUUUAUCAUUUAUUACUCAUAAAACUGGUCAUUUCUGUACUUUUGAGGCUGAUUUCUUUUGCUGAAAUCCAUACAUGAGCCAUUUGCCCCAUACACUAUAACCUCUUUGUACUGACCCCGAGUCUCCACAGGUCCCUUGAUCCUCAUGGUUCUCACUGAGACACAUGGGUACUUCUGGAUUCCCCGAAUACCACGUGUAGGCCUUGAUGAGCCAGGAGCCUUGCUUUGGGCUUACUAGUUGUUGAGCCACUAUCCAACAAUGUUGCAUUUUUCUCCUUAUGUCAUAUUGAACAUGCUGGCAGGCUGAAAGUAGAACUCCUAGACGUCUUAGUGUUUCACAGACAUGUCCAGGGACGCAAACCACUAUCUCCAACUUUCUUGGAUUUCCCUAUGUCUCUGUGCAUAUGUCAACUACAUACCCUCAAUUCUAGUUUCCACCCUGAGAGGGGAUGGAAAGUAAGCACACUGAGUCUGAUUAACCUCUUCCUUGUACCCUUUUCUUCUUUCCAUCAUGCCCCAGGGUUUUUAAGGAAUGGAUUUUUCUCCUUCCCAUUUGUCAGGAACUUUCCUUCUGUACCGUAUCCUCUUCAUUUUUGAGAUUUGGCAUUUCUUCUGCUCCCUUUCUUGGAGCCGUGAUAGCUGAUGAAGUGCUCAAGAGAGAACCCAGUUUAACAAUAAUGGAACACCUAUUGGGAGAUAUUAAAAAAUAUUAUCCUAUCCCUACAUUACUGGUUUCUACAUAUGUUUAGUUUAUUUCAGGGAUUAAAUGUUGAAGUCAUCUUUGUGUAAAAGUGUUCAAACUCAAUUGUGGAACUUAAGAGUUGUCAGGACGGACCUUGGAGAUCAUUAAAUCUCAUUUCUGUAUUCAACAGACUAGGAAACUAAACUCCAAAGAAGGGAGGUGACAAAACUAUAACUAUUUGGUAGCAAAGCCACUGUCUGCCAAUCCAGGGCCCUUUCCAUUCAGAAGCAUUGUAGACAGUAUUUUGAGUUCUGGUGAGAACCCAAAAUAUCCUGGAAGGUUUUAUCCAUAGGCAGAUCCACCUAUAUUAGUAAAU